RNAcentral lists this ribosomal RNA (1020 nucleotides) under Klebsiella pneumoniae. RNAcentral describes it as "bacterial SSU rRNA". It matches the Rfam family "Bacterial small subunit ribosomal RNA", at positions 53 to 1064 of the family's 1533-position model. Lineage: Bacteria; Pseudomonadati; Pseudomonadota; Gammaproteobacteria; Enterobacterales; Enterobacteriaceae. The record is from RNAcentral.
ACAUGCAAGUCGAGCGGUAGCACAGAGAGCUUGCUCUCGGGUGACGAGCGGCGGACGGGUGAGUAAUGUCUGGGAAACUGCCUGAUGGAGGGGGAUAACUACUGGAAACGGUAGCUAAUACCGCAUAAUGUCGCAAGACCAAAGUGGGGGACCUUCGGGCCUCAUGCCAUCAGAUGUGCCCAGAUGGGAUUAGCUAGUAGGUGGGGUAACGGCUCACCUAGGCGACGAUCCCUAGCUGGUCUGAGAGGAUGACCAGCCACACUGGAACUGAGACACGGUCCAGACUCCUACGGGAGGCAGCAGUGGGGAAUAUUGCACAAUGGGCGCAAGCCUGAUGCAGCCAUGCCGCGUGUGUGAAGAAGGCCUUCGGGUUGUAAAGCACUUUCAGCGGGGAGGAAGGCGGUGAGGUUAAUAACCUCAUCGAUUGACGUUACCCGCAGAAGAAGCACCGGCUAACUCCGUGCCAGCAGCCGCGGUAAUACGGAGGGUGCAAGCGUUAAUCGGAAUUACUGGGCGUAAAGCGCACGCAGGCGGUCUGUCAAGUCGGAUGUGAAAUCCCCGGGCUCAACCUGGGAACUGCAUUCGAAACUGGCAGGCUAGAGUCUUGUAGAGGGGGGUAGAAUUCCAGGUGUAGCGGUGAAAUGCGUAGAGAUCUGGAGGAAUACCGGUGGCGAAGGCGGCCCCCUGGACAAAGACUGACGCUCAGGUGCGAAAGCGUGGGGAGCAAACAGGAUUAGAUACCCUGGUAGUCCACGCCGUAAACGAUGUCGAUUUGGAGGUUGUGCCCUUGAGGCGUGGCUUCCGGAGCUAACGCGUUAAAUCGACCGCCUGGGGAGUACGGCCGCAAGGUUAAAACUCAAAUGAAUUGACGGGGGCCCGCACAAGCGGUGGAGCAUGUGGUUUAAUUCGAUGCAACGCGAAGAACCUUACCUGGUCUUGACAUCCACAGAACUUUCCAGAGAUGGAUUGGUGCCUUCGGGAACUGUGAGACAGGUGCUGCAUGGCUGUCGUCAGCUCGUG